UGUUUCAAUGUUGGAACUAUG
This 21-nucleotide non-coding RNA is filed under the name Caenorhabditis elegans. Lineage: Eukaryota; Metazoa; Nematoda; Chromadorea; Rhabditida; Rhabditidae. The record is from RNAcentral.